Molecule: long non-coding RNA, 6920 nt
Organism: Olea europaea var. sylvestris
Lineage: Eukaryota; Viridiplantae; Streptophyta; Magnoliopsida; Lamiales; Oleaceae
Exons: 9
Source: RefSeq, a predicted model, not a curated record
AAUUAUGAAAAUUCAAAUGUGUCAAGCUGAUACUGCUGGUCUAUGCAAAAUAAUAAAGCAGGGGUCAAACACUAGUUAACGACACAAUCACGUAAAAUAAAUGGGAGGAAAGGCGAAAAUAUGACAAGUCGAAGAGUUAACAAAUAUAGGGUCUAAUCAUGUGAGUUUUAUGUAAAGACUACAGCACAAAAGGUAAUCGAUGCAAUUCAAGAUAAAUAGCAAUAUAACUGAGGAUAAAUUUAAACAAUGACUUUCCUUUCGUUCGUUUGAAGAAGCUGCGUCCAAUCAACUAGAAUGAAAGAGGCAUCUGAAAAAUGAUGUUAGAAAAAUAACUUUUUUUCCCUUUUUUUUUUUAUUUUUUUUUUACUUCCUCUUUUCGAUUUUUUUUUUUUAUCCAAACAAAGUUAACUAAACACUGUACAAACAAACAAGGCAUAACCAAGUCUAAUUCACAAACUAGGUAUAUAACACUGUGAGACCCAAACACAGUGAGACAAAUCACGUCUGUAGCGUCUAGAAUGUCGAUUUCCCGGGGGCAAUCAGCAUCAAACGGAGGUGGGAGUGUAUAUAUGUGCAAGCGACGGGACUCGAGGUGGUGGUGUGGGUGUCGUCUGGCGAUGGUGCGACUGCAGCGUGGGUUUUCUGUGGUGUUGUAAAUGCCGUCAAUGAAAUUUCUGUGGGUUUUCGUCGAUGAUGGAAGAAAGUCGACCGGGGUUAGUCAGAAACAAGGAUAAAUUUAUGGGCUCUGUAGAUGACGGUAUGUGGGUUGUUAAAUUCUGUACCUUGGAUUGUGGUUGAAGUAUUCAAUUACUGGUCAUAUGUCGUGGGUUACCAGCAGAUUGGUGGGGUGUGUGUCUUGAUUGUAUGUAGUUGGGGUAGUUUUAGAAGUGGAUGAAGAUGUGGGGGUUACUGUGGCGACAGUUUGGAAUCAGAUUUGGUGUAAUGGGUCUCAAAAUAUUUGUAUAGAAGUCGUUGGCUGCAAUUUGGGUGUUAAGUAUAUAUGCAAUGGGCUAUUGGACUUUUGGAAGUGCUCUGGUUUUGUCGUGUUGAAGAUAAUGGUGAGAGUUUCGGUUUGUAGUUAUAGAUAUAUUGGACAAACAAUUACAGUUGCCGCUCUUUCUGAUAAAUGACCCAGAUUUAUCUUAAUAACUUUACAAAGUUUGCGGAAGAAGAAUUCAGCAGCCUACCGGUUGGUUUGGAGAGAUGUUAAUGCUAGGAAUAGUGGGAGUUUAACUGGUAUUAUUGAACAGCAAUUUCCAUAACUCAUGAUUGCAGUUGGCUUGUCGAACCAGGAAAAUAAUGCAAACUUGGAUGAAGUAGUAGCUCUUACCAGAUAACUUCAGGGACAAAGAUUCAUCCUCCCUGUUGUAUAGCUCAAUUGUUUCACCAUCCCCGGUACAUGCAUGGAUAAGCAACUAGGUCAAGAAAACCGCGGAGGUAUAUCGUUCACUAAUUUGGGACAUUCCAUUUCAAGAGAGAGAUGUCUGAUUGGACAUAGGGGGUUCAACUUUUCAAUAUCAUUACUUCUGAUACAUAUUUGGGGAUCAAUUUUUUUAUGCCUACAGGUUACACACUAUCUAGGUGGAGAAAACUAUGUUUUUUAGGCUGGUCGAGAGGGUUAUCAGACUUUUUUGAACACACAUAUGGAAAGAGAGCUUAAUCAUAUGGUAAGAUUAUUGCAUGUCUUUUAGUUGCAAGGGUGUGUAUCGGCUUAUGAUUCUAAUUUCUUACAACGGAUGGCUAAUUCUUUAUGAUUUCUGAAGAAAUUAAAUUAAAAUAUUACGACACUAGAGCAUAUUCAGCCAUUUGUUUCUUAAUUAUUCAAUGCAUAUAACCACAAGAAAACCUUUGCAGUUUUCUUUUCCUUCUUUUAGUAGGACAUUGAAUUCAUGGUAUGCUCAAUUUUACAUAAUUAAAAAACACUAGUAUUUUCCUUUUUUCCCCCCUUUUCAAGUGCUUUAAACUGGAAAUUGUGUAUAGAAAUACUCUCCUUAUAACGCAUUUUUCUCAUGCUAUGUAUGACUGGGAUGCUGCAACAGCAGCUAACUUCCUACGAAAAUAUGGUCUCAUAGGUAAGACAUUUGUUGUGAAAUAUUCAAAAUGCAGUUUGUAUCUCUUAUUUUCAAGUUAGGUCCUUAUAUAUUCUCAAAUCGAGCAUCCAAGUUCGCUUUUCUGAAGGUUUCUGUUUCUCAUUUUAGUUAGCUCGCCACCACCUAUGAAUUAUAUUCAUCUAUCGAACUAUAUGGUGGAUGGGUGGGUGUUUCUUCUGGCCAAUUGAUGGAAAAGGAAAGUUUUAAAAGAAAAACACAGAGAGAGAGAGAGAGAGAGAGAGAGGGGUACUAUGCUUAAAAUUUAUGUCAAUAUUCAAUGCUAACUUGGUGCAAAUUUUGGGAAUGCACUUGAUAGCCAAACUGGUGCAAUAGAUUCAAUGCUAAGGAAAUGAAUUGAUACAUUUGGACGAUAAACUUCCAUCAACGGCGGUAUAACGAGGCAUAGCUGGACUGACAGAUAUAAGGCACAUUUAUCGGAUAAUAGUUGUAGAAGAGAAGGACAGACCUGGAAAGGAAGGUAAGUAUUGAAUUAAGUGUUUGCCAUUAAUUAUUUCAUUUUUUAAUUUCUGUGAUGAAGAGAUUUUGUGGUUUUAAUUCCUGUUUCUUCACCUCCAUUUUCCCAAUGCAUUUGAUGAGGCUGAUUCAAUCUUUUUACAGUUUAUUUAGGAGGAUAUGACAAAGAAGAAAAGGCUGCUGGCACUUACGAUUUAGUAGCAUUAAAACACUGGGGAUAUACACUAUAAGUUUUCCACAGAGUUCUUGAAUAUUAAUGUUUGACCCUCUUGAUUUCUUUGCCCUGUCGAGAAAAAUACCAAAUGAAAGAUUUUUUAAUUUUAAUUUUUUUUUAAUGACCAUGGGUGUUCACGCCAACUUACGCACACCUUGACUAAUCUCACGGGGCUCUAAAGUUUACAACCGGGUACUCACCUCAGUGGUCCUGAGGGGACCCGAACUGGUAAUCGUUGGGGAGCAAACCCAAGACCUGAUUACUGAGCUACUGCUCAAAGUUUAAAUGAAAGAUUAUUAUACAUGAUAAGUAACAUUUUUAGUUUAUUAUAAUCACGUCUCAUAUAAUAUCUUCAUCGAUAGACAUCACCAGCAUGGAAUAUGGCAAGCAAGGAUUGGAAGAGUUGCUACUAACAAAGAUCCUUGCUUGGGAACCUUCAGUAUUCUAAUGGCUUGUUUGAUAAACUAAACUGGACUUGAAUACAUACAUAGUAUAAGAGUAUCUUAAACUUUUUCUUCUUUUUCGGAUUCCAUGGACACAAGGAAGCAACAGAAACAUACGACAUUACAGUCAUUAAAUUUCGAGGACUAAAUGUGGUGACUAAUUUCAAAAUAAGCAAAUAUGACGUGAAAAGCAUAAUGAAAAGCAGUACAUUGCCAAGUGGGAGUGUUGCUAAAUGUCUCACGGACGUAGAAAAUACUGGAAUGGCUUUAAAUAUACGAAGAAGAGCUAAUAAUGGAAACCCUAAUUCACAUCAAGCAGAUGGACUAAAUGGCUACAGUAAUAGCUGGCCUAAAACCAUAGGAUUCCAUCAAUCGCAGCCAUUAAACAUGCACUACCCAUAUGCUCAACAAAGGUACUGUUAUGAUAAAAAAUUGCUUCCUCGUAUCUUUGAUAUGUUUUGUCAUCCUUCCUUUCACGGUACUUCCAAUAAAAGUUGUGCAAUAUUUGUUGGAAAAAAUUAAUUAGCUGCAGUAGUGAUCUGAACAAUAUAAUGCAGAAAUAUAAAACUUAUCGUCCGAUCGAGUCUCGUGACAGCACGAUGUCCUAAAGUGAAAUUGUCCGUCAAUAAUUGCUGCGACCUCCGUGGACAAUCACUCCCAGGAUACAACGAUCUUAAACCACUUGUGCAGCAAUCACGAAUGGUUUUUCUAGAAUUCUCAAUUGUACUCCAGAAUAAAUGUAAAACCCGAAUAUAAGAAAUUCAGAAUAUGAAAAGGAGGGUUGAUGCAAGAUGAUUUUUCUAUUGUCUUUUUGUGUGUAUUUUUCCAAAAACGAGAUAUGGGUUUAUAUAUGCAAGAUGGUAGUAACAAUCUUCAUCAUGUUAAUGCAGAAUUUUAAUGACUGAGUAGUGGGUGUUUUAAUGGCUGUUAGUGGGUUGUUAUAAAAACAAACAGUCAUAAAAUACUGGUUAGUUUUACCCAUUAAAAAAGAAAAAAAAUAUUUAUUUUAGUCAAGAAAGCCCAAGAGCCAAGGCCCCAAUCAAGACAUUUUAAUAUCUGCGUGGGGAGUGACUCGAACCCCUGACGUCCCACACAAAUGUCAUAUUUUCCACCACUUUGGCACUUUAUCUAAUUUGGUUAUUUCUUUCACAUUUUAUAUUUAUACCAUAAAUAUAUAACAGUAUUUACAUGUACCACUUCCGAUUACUACAGUAUGCGAAUGUAGAAUUAUAAAUAUAAAUUGUGCAUAGCUAAAAAUAGCUUAGAUCCGUGUUCAGAUUGAACUGAUGAAUUUCAUACGGAUUAGAUUGGCUGUCCUAUUUAGAUUGAAUUUAAUAUAAUGGAUCUACUUGAAAAUGUUGGCCAGUUUGCUGCCGCCACUAAUAAAGAAAUCAAUACCCACAUACCAAAUUACGUGAGUUUGCUACCCCAGUUGCUCUGCCAACUCCACAGUAUUACAAUGUAUGUUAAGUUUUUCAACUUUAUAUUUUACUCAUUCUUGUAGUCUUCUUGUGAACAUCUUAUGGAGAAUUCUUAGACAUAAGACAGUUGUGUUUAUUUGGUAAAAUUUAGGCAGAUGUUGAGACCGAUGAAAUAUAUGCUCAGAUGACCCUGCAGCCCCUGACUUCAGUUCCUGUCAGCUUAAUUAUAUGGUUAUCAAUUUCACUAGCUACAAUUAACAAAAAAGUAUAGGCCAUGGUUAGCUGGUUUGCAUCACCACAAUUUUAUUUGAUUUUCUUUUCGUAGAACAUGAAAUAAUUUCUGGUUGUUAUAUCCUCGCUAGUCGUUAUCUUAGAUCUGGUGGUGCUUCUGCAUCUGUAGAAUUCAUAUAUGAUACCUCUUUGACUGCCUUACAUUCAUAUCUUGGAGGUAUGUAUCUUUGAUAUAUGCCUCCUUAAACUUUUAUUCAGGGAAAAAUAUCAGAGCUUUAAUUAUCCACUUUUUUGUAAGAGGUUGAGAACACUCGCAACAGCCUGGCUUUCUUGGAUGGAGGUGCUGUAUUGUCCCUUUCUCUGUUCUUUCUUGAAGAAGCCAGAAUUCCCCUAGAGUAAUUUUACCUAAUUUUAUAGCAUUCAACAAUCAUCGAGACUAGUUCAUGCUCCCUAUUCUAUUGGACGUCUUUACUGGGAUGGUAAUACUGGGAAGAUAAAGUGUGCAACUACUGGUACAACUGUAGAGGUACAAAAUGGAACAUUUCUUCCCAGUUCUUUUGUUUCAUCCCUCUAAAAUUGACUUAUUUGCCAUCAAGUUAGGUUACAUGUAAAGCAUAUCUAUUUUAUGUUUUCUUGAUUUAUUUGUUUAAAUAUAACUAAGAUUCCAUGACUUUGUGAAUGGGAAAGAACAAUUCUAAGUGUAGUUCUAAUUCUUACUUUACAAAGAGUGACCUGCCAGUAUCUGCAUCUACAUUUUUUUUUUUUUUAAAUAGACUACAAAUAUUACUUUUAUGUUUCUUUUAGGAAUUAGUUUCAUGGAGUAUGCAACAUUUUAUAGUCGAAACUUAUUUCUUUUACUUUUGCUAUGCAUUUCUACAGCAUACUGUCAACAUUCCUACAAAGAGAAUAAACAUAUUUCAAAAAUUAGGUACAAUGAGAGAGUAUGUAAAUUAUCAAAACUUAAGAUACCGUCUAUUAUCUAUCACCUUGUAUGCUUUGGGAUACAUGUAAAUUCAAACAAAUACAUUGCUUUUUUAAUAUAAUUAAGGAGGAAAAUUGAGGUUAUGUUUGUCAUUUAUUUAUCUUUACUUGCUAACAACUUUCACGAUAAAUUAGUGUGGCAUGAGGUUUUACAUUAGUUUGAUUAUGUUAAAGAAUGUUCAUGAAGAAGUUGAUUAUGUUAAAGCAUGUUCAUGAAGAAGAAAAACUUGAAAUUCUUUUAAAUGAAUGGCAUGGCUGAUUUAAACAUUUAUCCCAGGAACGUGGUACAAUAUGUUCCUUCGAACUCACUUGUCUAUGUCUUCACAGUUUGAAAUUGCUCCUAUACCCUUUUUCCUCAUCUAAUAAUCAUAAUCCAAUAUUUUGAUUACUUUAUGAUGCCCCAAAAUGCAAAGGUAUGCAUGUGAAGAGUACGUGAGUCCAACAUAUCCCUUAAUAAGAAACCUAAUUUUGCAUCUGCAAUAAUUACAAUCAUGAUUAGCAACGUAGAUAAGCGAUGCGUAUAUUCUACUUCACUGGUAUUUUUUAUGCGCUUUAUUCAUAAAAUAUAACCCACAUCAUAAAUGAAUCAAAUAUCGAGCAUUAACACCAGUGCAACAAACUAUGGAAGGGACUUGGGUUUUGAUCUCGAGGAGCUGCGGCUAACGGUAGGAUUAUGUAGAAACACAUCAGCAAGCAUGGCAUCAGAACAUGGUUCUUCACAAUGCAAAAGGAAAUGAAACCAGACGCUUGUAUUAAAAUGGAGGGAAAUCGGUUCCUUGUAUUUCUACUUGAAGAAAUGUAUCAUUACGAUUGUAAUAGAGGCUGAAAUAAAAUCAUAGGCCUUUCUUCUAAUUUAUCACAUUUCCUGAAGUUUUUUUUAGUUGUUUAUUUCAAAUCAUGGAGUCUCUAAGACUCUAACUGUAAAUGUGGGGACAGAAAAGUAGUACUGCACUAUGCCCGGCCUUGUCGCACAUCUAAUCAUAACAAAUUAUUUACAAUGUAUUGCUGAUGUAUAUAACUUGUAUGUAUUGCUGAUGUAUAUAACUUGUUGCCUUGCUCUCUUCAA